AUCGCUUCUCAGCCUUUUGGCUAAGAUCAAGUGUAUUUGUGUACCUUUCAGCAAGUUACCAAAAAUUUUUGGCCCUUUAAAAGCACUUUUUAAAAAUUAUUUUUAGAGAUCACUGGUUACACUGAGUGCCAAGCCCUUAGUAAGUACCUCCAAAUU
RNAcentral lists this small nuclear RNA (156 nucleotides) under Myotis davidii. RNAcentral describes it as "U2 spliceosomal RNA". It matches the Rfam family "U2 spliceosomal RNA". From Rfam's summary of the family: U2 is a small nuclear RNA (snRNA) component of the spliceosome (involved in pre-mRNA splicing). Complementary binding between U2 snRNA (in an area lying towards the 5' end but 3' to hairpin I) and the branchpoint sequence (BPS) of the intron results the bulging out of an unpaired adenosine, on the BPS, which initiates a nucleophilic attack at the intronic 5' splice site, thus starting the first of two transesterification reactions that mediate splicing. The record is from Rfam by way of RNAcentral. Lineage: Eukaryota; Metazoa; Chordata; Mammalia; Chiroptera; Vespertilionidae.